Molecule: transfer RNA, 750 nt
Filed under: Bradyrhizobium sp. 1.3
Lineage: Bacteria; Pseudomonadati; Pseudomonadota; Alphaproteobacteria; Hyphomicrobiales; Nitrobacteraceae
Description: partial 16S-23S ribosomal RNA intergenic spacer
Rfam family: tRNA (bases 161-234)
Source: RNAcentral
CUAUCGAACCGUUUUAGAAACAUCAGUGGCCAACGGUCGUCAGGAUCGUUGAGCUGCAUUGGCGGGAUUUCGCCGUCUUCGUUUCUCUUUCUUCGCGGACGAACACGCGCUGGGGCUGCAACCUUGCAGAAUCCCUGGUCCUUGACUGGAUAUGCGUUAGGGGCUUGUAGCUCAGUUGGUUAGAGCGCGCGCUUGAUAAGCGUGAGGUCGGAAGUUCAAGUCUUCCCAGGCCCACCACACUCAUCGAGUGAGCAUUCGUCUUCUGGUUACGGGGCCAUAGCUCAGCUGGGAGAGCGCGUGCUUUGCAAGCAUGAGGUGUCGGUUCGAUCCCGUCUGGCUCCACCAGAUGGUUUGAUCACCGGCUGCUCAUACCGUCGUCCGCGAAACAUCACUUCGCACUUACUAGUCCGGAUGAACAGUAAGCUGCGUGAUUUCUGACAUCGUAAAGAGGAGAUCGAUCCGAGUUGGAUCGGGCAACAAGUAAUUUGUUGCGCGAUACUUCAUUAUCUCCGGAUCAUUUCGGCGCUCGUGCGUCUUCCAUUUGUAGCUCACAAGGCUGCUUUGAAAGACAAGCGAGUUGUAAAUGAUCCUUUUAGCGAAGCUUGACCGCCUCGCUAUCGGAACGAUCUUACGAAGCAAGCUGGUCUUUCUAAUCAUUGUCCGGCUGCAGAUAGCGUUCAUCGAGGGCGCGUGCCGCAAGGUAGUUCUGCAGACAACAUUCUGCCGAGUGUGUGGACAUUGAUAAUGAGA